GACGAACGCUGGCGGCGUGCUUAACACAUGCAAGUCGAACGGAAAGGCCCUGCUUUUGUGGGGUGCUCGAGUGGCGAACGGGUGAGUAACACGUGAGUAACCUGCCCUUGACUUUGGGAUAACUUCAGGAAACUGGGGCUAAUACCGGAUAGGAGCUCCUGCUGCAUUGUGGGGGUUGGAAAGUUUCGGCGGUUGGGGAUGGACUCGCGGCUUAUCAGCUUGUUGGUGGGGUAGUGGCUUACCAAGGCUUUGACGGGUAGCCGGCCUGAGAGGGUGACCGGCCACAUUGGGACUGAGAUACGGCCCAGACUCCUACGGGAGGCAGAAGUGGGGAAUAUUGCACAAUGGGCGGAAGCCUGAUGCAGCAACGCCGCGUGCGGGAUGACGGCCUUCGGGUUGUAAACCGCUUUCGCCUGUGACGAAGCGUGAGUGACGGUAAUGGGUAAAGAAGCACCGGCUAACUACGUG
Molecule: ribosomal RNA, 468 nt
Filed under: uncultured bacterium
Lineage: Bacteria
Description: partial 16S ribosomal RNA
Rfam family: Bacterial small subunit ribosomal RNA
Source: RNAcentral